UGAGGAAUUUUCCACAAUGGGCGAAAGCCUGAUGGAGCAAUACCGCGUGGAGGAAGACGGAUCGUGGUCUGUAAACUCCUUUUCUCAGAGAAGAAUUUUUGACGGUAUCUGAGGAAUAAGCACCGGCUAACUCUGUGCCAGCAGCCGCGGUAAUACAGGGGGUGCAAGCGUUGUCCGGAAUGAUUGGGCGUAAAGCGUUCGUAGGUGGUUCUUAAAGUCUACUGUCAAAUCCCAGAGCUCAACUUUGGACAGGCAGUAGAGAACUCAAGGGCUAGAGGACGGUAGGGGUAGAGGGAAUUCCUAGUUAAGCGGUGAAAUGCACAGAGAUUAGGAAGAACACCGGUGGCGAAAGCGCUCUACUGGGCCGUUACUGACACUGAGGGACGAUAGCUGUGGGAGC
This 400-nucleotide ribosomal RNA is filed under the name uncultured bacterium. RNAcentral's name for it is "bacterial SSU rRNA". It matches the Rfam family "Bacterial small subunit ribosomal RNA", at positions 355 to 769 of the family's 1533-position model. The record is from RNAcentral.